GGACGGGGCCCGCACAAGCGGUGGAGCAUGUGGUUUAAUUCGAAGCAACGCGCAGAACCCUUACCAGCUCUUGACAUCUGGGUCGCGGACAGUGGAGACAUUGUCCUUCAGUUCGGCUGGACCCAAGACAGGUGCUGCAUGGCUGUCGUCAGCUCGUGUCGUGAGAUGGUUGGGUUAAGUCCCGCAACGAGCGCAACCCUCGCCCUUAGUUGCCAGCAUUUAGGUUGGGCACUCGUAAGGGGACUGCCGGUGAUAAGCCGAGAGGAAGGUGGGGAUGACGUCAAGUCCUCAUGGCCCUUACGGGCUGGGCUACACACGUGCUACAAUGGUGGUGACAGUGGGCAGCGAGACCGCGAGGUCGAGCUAAUCCCAUAAAACCGAUCGUAGUCCGGAUCGCAGUCUGCAACUCGACUGCGUGAAGUCGGAAUCGCUAGUAAUCGUGAAUCAGAAUGUCACGGUGAAUACGUUCCCGGGCCUU
This 478-nucleotide ribosomal RNA is filed under the name uncultured Rhizobiaceae bacterium. RNAcentral describes it as "bacterial SSU rRNA". It matches the Rfam family "Bacterial small subunit ribosomal RNA", at positions 916 to 1381 of the family's 1533-position model. The record is from RNAcentral. Lineage: Bacteria; Pseudomonadati; Pseudomonadota; Alphaproteobacteria; Hyphomicrobiales; Rhizobiaceae.